CCACCAACCAACGAAGUACUGGGCCUGUGGGUAUUCGUCUCUCUCCCCGCCCCUGAGAGUCUGGGAAAGGCUGACACGUGGUGCCUUCAGGCUCUGGGGCCUAGGACCUUUGUGGUAGCAGAGUCACUGCAGAGAACCAGACAAUACCAGGUUGCUUAUAAAAGGAUGCCAUGUGCUUGCUGGAGGUCCCAGGUGCAACCAAAUUGCUUGCAGCUAGGAGGACCUUGAAGAGAAAUGGGAUCAGCCCGCCAAACCAAGAAGGGUUAGCACUUUUGCUAGGAGAGCUGACCACGCACAAACAGAUGAGAACCAAAACCGAGUGAAGAGGAUUGAAGAUGAACCCACAUUUUAAAAGUUCUUGUCUGCUGGAGGUGGCAUUACCUGUGACCUCGCUUCACUUCUCCAUACAUGGCUGUUAUAGCAGAAAAUCCAGCUUUCUGAAGCAUAUUUCACGACAUAUGAUGAGACUUAUGUGAUGUGAGACCUGAGAAAACUAUGAUAGAAAGAAGCAACUCAAGUUGCAAGGAUAUUCCUCAUGUAUCAUGCAAGGAUAUUCCUCAUAUAUCAUAGACUAAGGUGUCAGUAUGUUCUUCAAGCUGCUCUGCUCCUGGGCCCAAGCUAUUCUCCUGCCUCAGCCUUCCAAGAAGCUGAAACUACAAGAACACAAGACUGUACCUGGCUUGCAAACACCAUUGCUAAUAAGAAGAUAUUGUAAGACUGAUACCUAAGAGAUAAGAGGCAUGGAUCCCUGAGGUCUGCCCCAGUACUAUAAGACAAUUUGAUGUAAGAAAACACAGCAGAUAUAAUACUGAGUGAAGAAGAGUAUAAAUGAGAAGAUUGGUUGUGCAGAUACUGAGUUCAUGAAAAGAGGAGAUGAUUGAUGAGGCCAGGUGCGGUGACUCAUGCCUGUAAUCCCUGCACUUUGGGAGGCUGCGGCGGGCGGAUCACCUGAGGUCAGGAGUUCGAGACCAGCCUGGGAGACAGAGCAUGGAAACCUAAGGUCUGUACCCAAAACUACAGGACUAUUUGACAUCAUAAUAAAACACUGCAGAUAUGAUGCUGAGUAAGAGUAGAAAUGGGAAGACUUGGUUGUGCAGUAACUGAGUUCUUGAAAAGAGGAGAUGCUUGAUGAGGGCAUGGAUCACUAAGGUCUGUUCCCAAUACAAGAAGACUCUUUGACAUCAUAAUAAAAUACUGCAGAUACGAUGCUGAGUGAAAAAGAGUAGAAAUGGGAAGACUUGGUUGUGCAGAAACUGAGUUCUUAAAGAGAGGAGAUACUUUAUGAGGGCUGGAGUGCACUGGAGCAAUCCUGGCUGGCCAAUACUGAGUUCUUGAAAACAGGAGAUGCUUGAUGAGGUUGCAGGGCUUUGACUCCUGGGUACAUGUAUCUCAUCUGAAAGGGAAUCCUGACGCCUACUGAAUCUUAAUAGUCAAUAUUGAUAUCUGGCAUCAAAUUCAAGUUGACCAAAGUUCCAUCUUCAGACCUGGGAGAAGAUGACAGUCAAAAUGAACUGCUUUCAUGUGACACUGGACCAGGCCUAUAUACAAAGGCAUAAGUAAUCAUUGAAUAAUGUUUCAUCUAUCUAUCUUAAUAUAAUUUGUUCUAUGCCUUACUAGAUAAAUGUUUAGUUACCUGUGAGUUUUCUUUUCCUGCCAUUGUCAGAGCUAGGCAGGGCUUAAGUCCCUUUCGUUUAAACAUUACUAACUCUAUACAUAGCUUGCAAAAUUGGAUAAAACAACAAAGGUUACUUUUUCACUCUCUCUCUGCUUAAUAUCUCUGAAAUUUAAAACUAUUCAGAAUCCCACUGGGCCCGAUCUAUUUUCAAUGCUAAUGCUCCACUGCUAAAACUAUAUAAGCAUCUUCCCUCUAGGCUCAGGCACUAUCUUGGAAGAGGUAAAUGUGUAAGAUUGUAAAGGUUGAUUUUUGAGCAACAAAAUUAAUUUAGAUCUUCCAAAUAAAAAAUGGGCACACAGAUGCCCAAACAGUUGGCAAAAUAAGAUACUUUACCUCCUGGACCAGUAUGUGGACCUUUUUCAUCCAUCCCAACCAUAAUUUCCUCUUUCCUGUAGAAUUAAAAGAAAAUUGCAAAGAGGAUAUGAACUUUUCUGGUAAGAAAACCUCCUGGGUAUAGUGCUCCCAGUUAUGAGAUUUAUGCAGAUUGUUAUAUAAAGUUUUUUUAAAUCAAGCACCUUAGGACAAACUAUUAAAAAGACUGCUAAAAGCGUUGUGACACAACAAAAGUCUCUAAAUUCUGUAGCUUAAAAAGUUUUAACAAAGUACUUAUCUUUUGCAAGCUAAUUGCUACAAGUCUAUAACUAAAACAUGUAUUGACUGAUGUCUUAGGUCUCCCUAAAAUAUAUAAAACCAAGUUGUAAACCAAUCACCUUGGACACAUGUUCUCAGGACCUCUGGAGACUGUGCCUUGGGCCAUGGUCACUCAUAUUUGGCUGAGAAUAAAAUUUUAAAAAUAUUUUACAGAGUUGGGUUUUUCUUGUUGGCUUUUUCAUAAAAUGUAAAAUGUUUGAGAAAGACACUUCUCAAGUGGCCAAGUGAGGAUAUUCUAGCUUAAUGCGUAGAAUUUAUAGCUAAGUCAAUUUUGUAACCUUGCCUUUUGACUUUUGGUUCUUGAUGCUUACAUUACAAAAUUUUAAGGUUUGAUAAAUGCCUGCUCCACUUCCAUUCCCAUCUGGCCUAGGAUAUUUAAAUUGGCUAUAAGUCUUUUGGCUCUACAUCUGUUGGCCGUGAGUCCCCACCAAGGGAUAGGAUAGACCCAGGGCACAUAGCCACACCACCCCAGCAAUGGUAUGCAACAAAAUGAUAGUUUGGCCAUUGAUGUUGCCUCUGGGAAAUUUUUUUUUUUUUUUUGACGAAGUCUUGCUCUGUUGCCCAAGCUGGAGUGCAGUGGUGUGUUCUAGGCUGACUGCAACCUUUGCUUCCUGGGUUCAAGUGAUUCUCUUGCUUCAGCCUCCCAAAUGGCUGGUAUUACAGACGUGCACCACCACACCUGGCUAAUUUUUUUUUUUUUUUUUUGAGACAGAGUCUCACUCUGUCAUUCAGGCUGGAGUGCAGUGGCACAAUCUCGGUUCACUGCAACCUCCAUUUCCCGGGUUCAAGUGAUUCUCCUGCCUCAGCCUCCUGAGUAGCUGGGAUUAUAGGCAUGCACCACCAGGCCCAGCUAAUUUUUGUAUUUUUUUGUAGAGAUGGGGUUUCGCCAUGUUAGUCAGGCUAGUCUCGAACUCCUGACCUCGUGAUCCACCUGCCUCGGCCUCCCAAAGUGAUGGGAUUAUAGGCGUGAGCCACUGUGCCUGGCCUAAUUUUAGUAUUUUUAGUAGAGAUGGGGUUUCGCAAUGUUGGCCAGGCUAGUCUCGAACUCCUGACUUCAGGUGAUCUGCCUGCCUUGGCCUCCCAAAGUGCUGGGAUUACAGGUGUGAGCCACCACGCUUGGCCUCCUCUGCUCAAUCCUGACCAGAAAAAUCAAAUUCUAACUCCCCCAAUCAACUGAAUUCCCCUCCAUUCAUCUGCCAAGGGGAUUCUAAAGAAUCCUGAAAACUAGUUCAGGCCAUGACAAUUGACAUUAAAACAGAUCUUAAAACUGACAAAACAGAUUCUUUGUAGCAAUAAGAUACCAAAUUUCAACCUGACUCAGGUAUAACUUCACAUGAUAAAAAAGGAAAUAAAAAUAUUUUACCCCCAAAAUAGAUUUCUUUGACAUAUUUUGAAAUGGCCCUGCAAGGCAGUUGGGGAAAUUUUGCAUCUGUAAAGCAUCUCCUUAACAUAACUAGAUCUUUCCCCUUCCAGGCCCUCCUAAACCUGAAGAGAUUAACUGAGAUUCUAGCACCUUUUAAAGUCUACAUAGGAAACAUUCACCAUUUAUUAUCUCUAAGGGCAGCCACUUAUGAGACUUCAUCUAUGUAAUAAAAACCUUGGUCUCCACAACCCCUUAUGUUAACCCAGACACUCCUUUCUAUUGAUUCCAGGUCUUUAGAAAAUAACUUAACUCCUCCAAGCAAUUGCCAAACAGAAAACCUUGGCAUCUUCCUAUGACCUGUAAGCACCCACUUUCCCCUGCUUUAAGUUGUCCUACCCUUCUGCACCAAACCAAUGUAUACCUCACAUGUAUUGAUUGAUGUCUUCUGUCUCUCUAAAACAUAGAAAAGAAAGCUGUAACCCAACCACCUUGGUCAGGACGUCUUGAGACUGUGCCUUGCGCCAUGGUCAGUCGUAUUUUGUGCAGAAUAAACAUUUUUCAAUAUUUUACAGAGUUUGGCUUUUUUGUUGACUUUUUUCAUAAAACAUGAAAGAUUAUGUUUGAGAAAGGCGUUUCUCAAGUGACCAUGUGAAGAUGUUGGGAAAUCCUCUCGCCAAAGAACAACUAUGAAAUGGACAAAACCAACCAUUUCUGUGCUCUGGAAAUUAAAUGUGCACAACAAUGUUAAACUUUGGGCAAGAAAGUUUGAACUCUGAUACGGUUUUGAUUUGUGUCACUGCUGAAAUCUCUUGUGCAAUUGUGACCCUCAGUGUUGGAGGAGGGGCCUGGUGGGAAGUGAUUGGAUCAUGGGGGUGGAUUUCCCCCUUGCUGUUCUCAUGUAGUGAGUGAGUUCUCGUGAGAUCUGGUUGUUUAAAAGUGUGUAGCAUCUCCCCCUGCUCUCUUCCUCCUUCUCUGGCCAUGUAAAACCUGCCUGCUUCCCCUUUGCCUUCUACCAUGAUUGUAAGUUUCCUGAGGCCUCCACAGCCAUGCUUCCUGUACAGACUGUGGAAGUGUAAGUCAAUUAAACGUCUUUAGUCUUUAAACCUAUAAAUAUCUUUGUAACAACUUCCUUAGCUACAAUCUAUAAGUUAUUUAUAGAUUACACAGUCUCAGGUAGUUCUUAAUAGCAAUGCAAAAAUGCACUAAUACAAACCCUGUUUUGGUCUGGCCUGUGGCUGCUUCCGUAUUUCUCUUUCCUAGGUCCAUCUAUAGGGACAUUCUGCCAAGGUGAAAUAAAGACUGAUAAAAUUCCUUACUAGCAAACUUGUAUUACAAGAAAUAACUAAAAACAGUCCUUCAGUCUAAAAGGAAAUGACUCUAUAUGGUGACUUGAAUCCACAAGAAUAAAUGAAGGGCACAGGAAAUGGUAAAUAGCUGGGUUAAUAUAAAAAAGACUCUAUGUAUUGUUUUUUCAUUUUUUCUAUAUUAUCUAAAUGACCUAAGAUUAUGUGAAGUAAUAAUUAUUACAUUGUACUGUUGGUUUUAAAAUAUAUAACUGUAAUUUAUAUGAUAACAGACCAAUGUUGGAGGGGUUUGGAAAUAAAUAUGAGCAAAGUUUCUAUGUUUUACUUGAAGUAAGUUAGUAUUAAGCUGAUGUAUAUUCUGAUAGGUUAAAAUGUAUAUUGUAACCCUUAGAACAACUAUUAAAAUAAAUCAAAAGC
Molecule: long non-coding RNA, 5410 nt
Filed under: Homo sapiens (human)
Lineage: Eukaryota; Metazoa; Chordata; Mammalia; Primates; Hominidae
Description: HSALNT0286432
Source: RNAcentral